Molecule: ribosomal RNA, 2930 nt
Filed under: Escherichia coli
Lineage: Bacteria; Pseudomonadati; Pseudomonadota; Gammaproteobacteria; Enterobacterales; Enterobacteriaceae
Description: 23S ribosomal RNA
Rfam family: Bacterial large subunit ribosomal RNA
Source: RNAcentral
GGGUUGUGAGGUUAAGCGACUAAGCGUACACGGUGGAUGCCCUGGCAGUCAGAGGCGAUGAAGGACGUGCUAAUCUGCGAUAAGCGUCGGUAAGGUGAUAUGAACCGUUAUAACCGGCGAUUUCCGAAUGGGGAAACCCAGUGUGAUUCGUCACACUAUCAUUAACUGAAUCCAUAGGUUAAUGAGGCGAACCGGGGGAACUGAAACAUCUAAGUACCCCGAGGAAAAGAAAUCAACCGAGAUUCCCCCAGUAGCGGCGAGCGAACGGGGAGCAGCCCAGAGCCUGAAUCAGUGUGUGUGUUAGUGGAAGCGUCUGGAAAGGCGCGCGAUACAGGGUGACAGCCCCGUACACAAAAAUGCACAUGCUGUGAGCUCGAUGAGUAGGGCGGGACACGUGGUAUCCUGUCUGAAUAUGGGGGGACCAUCCUCCAAGGCUAAAUACUCCUGACUGACCGAUAGUGAACCAGUACCGUGAGGGAAAGGCGAAAAGAACCCCGGCGAGGGGAGUGAAAAAGAACCUGAAACCGUGUACGUACAAGCAGUGGGAGCACGCUUAGGCGUGUGACUGCGUACCUUUUGUAUAAUGGGUCAGCGACUUAUAUUCUGUAGCAAGGUUAACCGAAUAGGGGAGCCGAAGGGAAACCGAGUCUUAACUGGGCGUUAAGUUGCAGGGUAUAGACCCGAAACCCGGUGAUCUAGCCAUGGGCAGGUUGAAGGUUGGGUAACACUAACUGGAGGACCGAACCGACUAAUGUUGAAAAAUUAGCGGAUGACUUGUGGCUGGGGGUGAAAGGCCAAUCAAACCGGGAGAUAGCUGGUUCUCCCCGAAAGCUAUUUAGGUAGCGCCUCGUGAAUUCAUCUCCGGGGGUAGAGCACUGUUUCGGCAAGGGGGUCAUCCCGACUUACCAACCCGAUGCAAACUGCGAAUACCGGAGAAUGUUAUCACGGGAGACACACGGCGGGUGCUAACGUCCGUCGUGAAGAGGGAAACAACCCAGACCGCCAGCUAAGGUCCCAAAGUCAUGGUUAAGUGGGAAACGAUGUGGGAAGGCCCAGACAGCCAGGAUGUUGGCUUAGAAGCAGCCAUCAUUUAAAGAAAGCGUAAUAGCUCACUGGUCGAGUCGGCCUGCGCGGAAGAUGUAACGGGGCUAAACCAUGCACCGAAGCUGCGGCAGCGACGCUUAUGCGUUGUUGGGUAGGGGAGCGUUCUGUAAGCCUGUGAAGGUGUGCUGUGAGGCAUGCUGGAGGUAUCAGAAGUGCGAAUGCUGACAUAAGUAACGAUAAAGCGGGUGAAAAGCCCGCUCGCCGGAAGACCAAGGGUUCCUGUCCAACGUUAAUCGGGGCAGGGUGAGUCGACCCCUAAGGCGAGGCCGAAAGGCGUAGUCGAUGGGAAACAGGUUAAUAUUCCUGUACUUGGUGUUACUGCGAAGGGGGGACGGAGAAGGCUAUGUUGGCCGGGCGACGGUUGUCCCGGUUUAAGCGUGUAGGCUGGUUUUCCAGGCAAAUCCGGAAAAUCAAGGCUGAGGCGUGAUGACGAGGCACUACGGUGCUGAAGCAACAAAUGCCCUGCUUCCAGGAAAAGCCUCUAAGCAUCAGGUAACAUCAAAUCGUACCCCAAACCGACACAGGUGGUCAGGUAGAGAAUACCAAGGCGCUUGAGAGAACUCGGGUGAAGGAACUAGGCAAAAUGGUGCCGUAACUUCGGGAGAAGGCACGCUGAUAUGUAGGUGAAGCGACUUGCUCGUGGAGCUGAAAUCAGUCGAAGAUACCAGCUGGCUGCAACUGUUUAUUAAAAACACAGCACUGUGCAAACACGAAAGUGGACGUAUACGGUGUGACGCCUGCCCGGUGCCGGAAGGUUAAUUGAUGGGGUCAGCGCAAGCGAAGCUCUUGAUCGAAGCCCCGGUAAACGGCGGCCGUAACUAUAACGGUCCUAAGGUAGCGAAAUUCCUUGUCGGGUAAGUUCCGACCUGCACGAAUGGCGUAAUGAUGGCCAGGCUGUCUCCACCCGAGACUCAGUGAAAUUGAACUCGCUGUGAAGAUGCAGUGUACCCGCGGCAAGACGGAAAGACCCCGUGAACCUUUACUAUAGCUUGACACUGAACAUUGAGCCUUGAUGUGUAGGAUAGGUGGGAGGCUUAGAAGUGUGGACGCCAGUCUGCAUGGAGCCGACCUUGAAAUACCACCCUUUAAUGUUUGAUGUUCUAACGUUGACCCGUAAUCCGGGUUGCGGACAGUGUCUGGUGGGUAGUUUGACUGGGGCGGUCUCCUCCUAAAGAGUAACGGAGGAGCACGAAGGUUGGCUAAUCCUGGUCGGACAUCAGGAGGUUAGUGCAAUGGCAUAAGCCAGCUUGACUGCGAGCGUGACGGCGCGAGCAGGUGCGAAAGCAGGUCAUAGUGAUCCGGUGGUUCUGAAUGGAAGGGCCAUCGCUCAACGGAUAAAAGGUACUCCGGGGAUAACAGGCUGAUACCGCCCAAGAGUUCAUAUCGACGGCGGUGUUUGGCACCUCGAUGUCGGCUCAUCACAUCCUGGGGCUGAAGUAGGUCCCAAGGGUAUGGCUGUUCGCCAUUUAAAGUGGUACGCGAGCUGGGUUUAGAACGUCGUGAGACAGUUCGGUCCCUAUCUGCCGUGGGCGCUGGAGAACUGAGGGGGGCUGCUCCUAGUACGAGAGGACCGGAGUGGACGCAUCACUGGUGUUCGGGUUGUCAUGCCAAUGGCACUGCCCGGUAGCUAAAUGCGGAAGAGAUAAGUGCUGAAAGCAUCUAAGCACGAAACUUGCCCCGAGAUGAGUUCUCCCUGACUCCUUGAGAGUCCUGAAGGAACGUUGAAGACGACGACGUUGAUAGGCCGGGUGUGUAAGCGCAGCGAUGCGUUGAGCUAACCGGUACUAAUGAACCGUGAGGCUUAACCUUACAACGCCGAAGCUGUU